This 524-nucleotide long non-coding RNA is filed under the name Homo sapiens (human). RNAcentral's name for it is "HSALNT0320111". Lineage: Eukaryota; Metazoa; Chordata; Mammalia; Primates; Hominidae. The record is from RNAcentral.
AGAAAUUUUAUUUUGGCCAGGAGCUGAAGUUGGUUGUUUAGUAGUAGUAGUUUGAGUAGUGACCGAAGUAGUAGUCUGGUGUGGUAAUUGGGGCAGCUGUGGUCUCUUGUGGAGCUGGGGAAGACGGUGGAGCUGGUGUAGUUGCAGAAGGUGUGGGUGGGGCAGCUGUGGUCUCUGGUGGAGCUGAGGAAGAUGGUGGAGCUGGUGUAGUUGCAGGAGGUGUGGGUGGGGCAGCUGUGGUCUCUGGUGGAGCUGAGGAAGAUGGUGGAGCUUGUGUAGUUGCAGAAGGUGUGGGUGGGGCAGCUGUGGUGUCUUGUGGAGCUGGGGAAUUCACUGGUGCUAAUGUAGCUACAGAAGAGCUUGUGUUAACAUUUUCUCUUGAAGAUAUGGUGGUGGCAUUCUGGGGAAGAAAAGUCACAUUUGGAAGGGUAGUAAUUUUGGUGGCUGCUUAGGCCUACAGCGUUUGUGCAGACAUUUAUAGGACUUUCUAAUGAACGGCUUCUGGUGAGCUAGCAGUCCAGGAU